GACGAACGCUGGCGGCGUGCUUAACACAUGCAAGUCGAACGCUGAAGACCUGGCUUUUGUUGGGUUGGAUGAGUGGCGAACGGGUGAGUAACACGUGAGUAACCUGCCCUCUUCUUCGGGAUAACGCCCGGAAACGGGUGCUAAUACUGGAUAUUCACUGGCCUUCGCAUGGGGGUUGGUGGAAAGGUUUGUUCUGGUGGGGGAUGGGCUCGCGGCCUAUCAGCUUGUUGGUGGGGUGAUGGCCUACCAAGGCUUUGACGGGUAGCCGGCCUGAGAGGGUGACCGGUCACAUUGGGACUGAGAUACGGCCCAGACUCCUACGGGAGGCAGCAGUGGGGAAUAUUGCACAAUGGGCGAAAGCCUGAUGCAGCGACGCCGCGUGAGGGAUGGAGGCCUUCGGGUUGUAAACCUCUUUCGCUCAUGGUCAAGCCGCAACUGUGGGUUGUGGUGAGGGUAGUGGGUAAAGAAGCGCCGGCUAACUACGUG
RNAcentral lists this ribosomal RNA (486 nucleotides) under uncultured bacterium. RNAcentral describes it as "partial 16S ribosomal RNA". It matches the Rfam family "Bacterial small subunit ribosomal RNA", at positions 28 to 507 of the family's 1533-position model. The record is from RNAcentral.